AACGGCCAUAUUACGUUGAAACACCGGUUCGCAUACGAUCACCGAAGUUAAGCAACGUUGCCCCUGGUCAAUACCUAAAUUGGUUACUGCUUGGGAAUACCAGGUACUGUAAG
Molecule: non-coding RNA, 113 nt
Organism: Acanthosepion pharaonis
Lineage: Eukaryota; Metazoa; Mollusca; Cephalopoda; Sepiida; Sepiidae
Source: the annotation of a GenBank genome assembly